CGGACGGGUGAGUAACGCGUGGAUAACCUGCCUCACACUGGGGGAUAACAGUUAGAAAUGGCUGCUAAUACCGCAUAAGCGCACAGUACCGCAUGGUACGGCGUGAAAAACCCAGGUGGUGUGAGAUGGAUCCGCGUCUGAUUAGCCAGUUGGCGGGGUAACGGCCCACCAAAGCGACGAUCAGUAGCCGACCUGAGAGGGUGACCGGCCACAUUGGGACUGAGACACGGCCCAA
This 235-nucleotide ribosomal RNA is filed under the name uncultured bacterium. RNAcentral's name for it is "partial 16S ribosomal RNA". It matches the Rfam family "Bacterial small subunit ribosomal RNA", at positions 99 to 334 of the family's 1533-position model. The record is from RNAcentral.